ACGUAGGUGGCAAGCGUUGUCCGGAUUUAUUGGGUUUAAAGGGUGCGUAGGCGGUUCUAUAAGUCAGUGCUGAAAUAUCCCGGCUUAACCGGGAGGGUGGCAUUGAUACUGCAGGACUUGAGUAAAGUUGAGGUAGGCGGAAUUGACGGUGUAGCGGUGAAAUGCUUAGAUAUCGUCAAGAACACCGAUAGUGAAGACAGCUUACUAAACUAUAACUGACGCUGAGGCACGAAAGUGUGGGGAUCAAACAGGA
RNAcentral lists this ribosomal RNA (253 nucleotides) under uncultured prokaryote. RNAcentral's name for it is "partial 16S ribosomal RNA". It matches the Rfam family "Bacterial small subunit ribosomal RNA", at positions 525 to 777 of the family's 1533-position model. The record is from RNAcentral.